GAUAAACGCGGGCGGCGUGCAUAACACAUGCAAGUCGAACGAUGAACCUUAAUUGAUUUCUUCGGAAUGAAAAUAAGUGGAUUAGUGGCGAACGGGUGAGUAACACGUGAGUAACCUGCCUUACACAAGGGGAUAGCCUUUGGAAACGAAGAAUAAUACCCUAUAAAGUUAGUCAAUCGCAUGGUAGACUAACCAAAGAUUUAUCGGUGUAAGAUGGACUUGCGUCUGAUUAGCUAGUUGGUGAGAUAAAAGCCCACCAAGGCGACGAUCAGUAGCCGGCUUGAGAGAGUGUACGGCCACAUUGGGACUGAGACACGGCCCAAACUCCUACGGGAGGCAGCAGUGGGGAAUUUUGCACAAUGGGGGAAACCCUGAUGCAGCGACGCCGCGUGAUUUAGAAGGCCUUCGGGUUGUAAAAAUCUUUUUUAUGGGAUGAAAAUGACAGUACCAUAAGAAUAAGGUCCGGCUAAAUACGUGCCAGCAGCCGCGGUAAUACGUAUGGACCGAGCGUUGUCCGGAAUCAUUGGGCGUAAAGGGUACGUAGGCGGCCUAGUAAGUUAGAAGUGAAAUAAUAUAGCUCAACUAUAUAAAGCUUUUAAAACUGUUAGGCUUGAGAGAUGAAAGGGAAAGUGGAAUUCCUAGUGUAGCGGUGAAAUGCGCAGAUAUUAGGAAGAAUACCGGUGGCGAAGGCGACUUUCUGGUCAUCAUCUGACGCUGAGGUACGAAAGCGUGGGUAGCAAACAGG
RNAcentral lists this ribosomal RNA (745 nucleotides) under uncultured Anaerococcus sp. RNAcentral describes it as "bacterial SSU rRNA". It matches the Rfam family "Bacterial small subunit ribosomal RNA", at positions 28 to 776 of the family's 1533-position model. The record is from RNAcentral. Lineage: Bacteria; Bacillati; Bacillota; Tissierellia; Tissierellales; Peptoniphilaceae.